GGGGCUAGGACGGUUCCACCACCUGGCUUGUCAUCCUGGUGGUCAGGGUUCAACUCCCUGUAGCUCCACCA
Molecule: transfer RNA, 71 nt
Filed under: Candidatus Peregrinibacteria bacterium
Lineage: Bacteria; Candidatus Peregrinibacteriota
Description: tRNA-OTHER
Source: RNAcentral